Molecule: long non-coding RNA, 532 nt
Organism: Priapulus caudatus
Lineage: Eukaryota; Metazoa; Priapulida; Priapulimorpha; Priapulimorphida; Priapulidae
Exons: 5
Source: RefSeq, a predicted model, not a curated record
GCACUCGACCCGUCCUGCAUCACCUGCCGUCGCCCGUCAAGGUGCUAGACUGCGACACGAUCUCACAGGUGAAGGAGAAGGCGUUGAGCACUCUCUUAUUUGCUGGACGCCGUACUCAACGCGACCGACCAGCGAAGACUUUGAUUCGAGUGGCGAUCGGGUUUGCAGGGAAGACUUACUCUGCAAGAUAUAGACAGAAUCACGCAAGUCGACGGCGAGUGGAGACGCCUGAACACUCUACGUGAUUACUCGGUUUCCGAUGGAGCCACAUUCGUUCUUGUGCCAAAGCAAUCCAUAGUAUUCAAUAAUCUGGACAACAGUAUUAUUUCAAAUAGAUAUGAGAACUCGUCGUUGAAGGCGAGUCCGCCUACGAGUCCGACGUCGCUGUCAUCGUCGUUCACCGAGCAGCACCACCUGCUGGAGUCCGGAGCACGCUCCUGGCACCUGUUUAAAUGGUCCGAUGCAGACGGUGUGGAGAGAGUGAAUAAGCUAGUCUCUGAGAUAUAUCUCAACCGACUGCUCUACACUAAGG